GACGAACGCUGGCGGCGUGCUUAACACAUGCAAGUCGAACGGAAAGGCCCCUUUGGGGGUACUCGAGUGGCGAACGGGUGAGUAACACGUGAGUAACCUGCCCUUGACUUCGGGAUAACUUCAGGAAACUGGGGCUAAUACCGGAUAGGAAUCCUUGCUGCAUGGUGGGGGUUGGAAAGCUUCGGCGGUUUUGGAUGGACUCGCGGCUUAUCAGCUUGUUGGUGGGGUAGUGGCUUACCAAGGCUUUGACGGGUAGCCGGCCUGAGAGGGCGACCGGCCACAUUGGGACUGAGGUGCGGCCCAGGCUCCUACGGGAGGCAGCAGUGGGGAAUAUUGCACCAUGGGCGGAAGCCUGAUGCAGCAACGCCGCGUGCGGGAUGACGGUCUUCGGGUUGUAAACCGCUUUCAGCAGGGGAGAAGCUUGUGGUGACGGUACCUGCAGAAGAAGCACCGGCUAACUACGUG
Molecule: ribosomal RNA, 465 nt
Filed under: uncultured bacterium
Lineage: Bacteria
Description: partial 16S ribosomal RNA
Rfam family: Bacterial small subunit ribosomal RNA
Source: RNAcentral